GGAGAAUUAGCUCAGCUGGGAGAGCAUCUGCCUUACAAGCAGAGGGUCGGCGGUUCGAACCCGCGACCCCA
Molecule: transfer RNA, 71 nt
Filed under: Staphylococcus aureus
Lineage: Bacteria; Bacillati; Bacillota; Bacilli; Caryophanales; Staphylococcaceae
Description: tRNA-Val
Rfam family: tRNA
About the family: Transfer RNA (tRNA) molecules are approximately 80 nucleotides in length. Their secondary structure includes four short double-helical elements and three loops (D, anti-codon, and T loops). Further hydrogen bonds mediate the characteristic L-shaped molecular structure. tRNAs have two regions of fundamental functional importance: the anti-codon, which is responsible for specific mRNA codon recognition, and the 3' end, to which the tRNAs corresponding amino acid is attached (by aminoacyl-tRNA synthetases). tRNAs cope with the degeneracy of the genetic code in two manners: having more than one tRNA (with a specific anti-codon) for a particular amino acid; and 'wobble' base-pairing, i.e. permitting non-standard base-pairing at the 3rd anti-codon position.
Source: RNAcentral